AGUUUGAUCAUGGCUCAGAAUCAACGCUGGCGGCGUGCCUCAGACAUGCAAGUCGAACGAUUAAAGCUCUCUUCGGAGAGUGCAUAGAGUGGCGCACGGGUGAGUAACACGUAAGUAAUCUACCUUCGAGUGGGGAAUAACGUCCGGAAACGGACGCUAAUACCGCAUAAUGCAGCGGCAUCGUAAGAUGACAGUUGUUAAAGAUUUAUCGCUUGAAGAGGAGCUUGCGGCAGAUUAGCUAGUUGGUAAGGUAAUGGCUUACCAAGGCUACGAUCUGUAACCGGUCUUAGAGGACGGUCGGUCACACUGACACUGAAUAACGGGUCAGACUCCUACGGGAGGCAGCAGUCGGGAAUUUUGGGCAAUGGGCGAAAGCCUGACCCAGCAACGCCGCGUGAAGGAUGAAGUAUUUCGGUAUGUAAACUUCGAAAGAAUAGGAAGAAUAAAUGACGGUACUAUUUAUAAGGUCCGGCUAACUACGUG
Molecule: ribosomal RNA, 483 nt
Filed under: uncultured bacterium
Lineage: Bacteria
Description: bacterial SSU rRNA
Rfam family: Bacterial small subunit ribosomal RNA
Source: RNAcentral